RNAcentral lists this ribosomal RNA (331 nucleotides) under uncultured eukaryote. Its description in RNAcentral is "partial 18S ribosomal RNA". It matches the Rfam family "Eukaryotic small subunit ribosomal RNA", at positions 1470 to 1796 of the family's 1831-position model. The record is from RNAcentral.
CCCUUAGAUGUUCUGGGCCGCACGCGCGCUACACUGACGAAGUCAGCGAGCAUGUCCUACGCCGACAGGUGCGGGGAAUCUUGUCAAACUUCGUCGUGAUGGGGAUUGAUUAUUGAAAUUCUUGAUCAUCAACGAGGAAUUCCUAGUAAGCGCAAGUCAGCAGCUUGCGUUGAUUACGUCCCUGCCCUUUGUACACACCGCCCGUCGCUACUACCGAUUGAAUGGUUUAGUGAGAUCUUCGGAUUGGCGCCACUGCGGCUCAGCAAUGGGCACGGUGGAUGCCGAAAAGUUGAUCAAACUUGAUCAUUUAGAGGAAGUAAAAGUCGUAACA